GGCGGUGUACCAGAACACGUUCGACGGUGAGGGAUGAAAGCUGGGGGAGCAAACCGGAUUAGAUACCCGGGUAGUCCCAGCUGUAAACGAUGCAGACUCGGUGAUGCAUUGGCUUGUGGCCAAUGCAGUGCCGCAGGGAAGCCGUUAAGUCUGCCGCCUGGGAAAGUACGUACGCAAGUAUGAAACUUAAAGGAAUUGGCGGGGGAGCACCACAAGGGGUGAAGCCUGCGGUUCAAUUGGAGUCAACGCCAGAAAUCUUACCUGGGGCGACAGCAGAAUGAAGGUCAAGCUGAAGACUUUACCAGACAAGCUGAGAGGUGGUGCAUGGCCGUCGCCAGCUCGUGCCGUGAGAUGUCCUGUUAAGUCAGGUAACGAGCGAGACCCCUGCGUCUAGUUGCUACCAUUACUCUCUGGAGUAGUGGAGCGAAUUAGACGGACCGCCACAGUUAAUGUGGAGGAAGGAAGGGGCCACGGCAGGUCAGUAUGCCCCGAAACCCUAGGGCUACACGCGGGCUGCAAUGGUAUUGACAAUGUGUUCCGAAUCCGAAAGGAGGAGGCAAUCAUCAAACGAUACCUCAGUUAUGACUGAGGGCUGUAACUCGCCCUCACGAAUAUGGAAUCCCUAGUAACUGCGCGUCACUACCGCGCGGUGAAUACGUCCCUGCUCCUUGCACACACCGCCCGUCGUUUCAUCGAAGUUGGCCUUUAGUGAGGUAGUGUCUUGUUGGCAUUAUCGAGCUUGAGGUCAGUGACGAGGGAAAAGUCGUAACAAGGUA
This 776-nucleotide ribosomal RNA is filed under the name uncultured archaeon. Its description in RNAcentral is "bacterial SSU rRNA". It matches the Rfam family "Archaeal small subunit ribosomal RNA", at positions 671 to 1445 of the family's 1478-position model. The record is from RNAcentral.